This 374-nucleotide long non-coding RNA is filed under the name Apteryx owenii (little spotted kiwi). RNAcentral describes it as "lncRNA (ENSAOWG00000016099.1)". The record is from RNAcentral. Lineage: Eukaryota; Metazoa; Chordata; Aves; Apterygiformes; Apterygidae.
CCCGCCCGCCGGCAGCGCGAGCCGCUCGGGGCCGCCUCAGGAACGGUCUCAGAGCGAGCUGUCGGCUCGGUUUAAUUUGUGACACAAACUGUUGGUUCGUAAGUGCACGAUGUUCCUGCGAAGGAAAAAACACCCCACGCUCGCUCGCGUGGUGUCGUAGGAAGGCCAGAUGGGGAAAUCAGAGGCACUGGAUGCAAGUGUCCCUUCAAGGAUCGCAUAGUGCAACUACAGCUAGCAGGAACAGAACAGUGAGUGUGACUAUGCUGCCUGGAGGAUUUCUUGCCUGGCACUCUCUGCAGCUUCCACCUGGCUCUGAGGUCCAUAUCCUGCCUCCAGCAAUAUCUGCACAAGCCCCUACUUUGGGAGCUGUAUGA